Molecule: unclassified non-coding RNA, 406 nt
Filed under: uncultured cyanobacterium
Lineage: Bacteria; Bacillati; Cyanobacteriota
Description: partial 16S-23S ribosomal RNA intergenic spacer
Rfam family: Bacterial small subunit ribosomal RNA (bases 1-84)
Source: RNAcentral
GGGAUGCCUAAGGUAGGACUGAUGACUGGGGUGAAGUCGUAACAAGGUAGCCGUACCGGAAGGUGUGGCUGGAUCACCUCCUUUUAGGGAGACCUAAUCCAUUUAGAAUUUGAAAGCAAUGUAAAUUGCUAAUAGAAACUAAAUUGGUCUAACCUAGGUCGGUCGAGAUUGGUAGAUAUCUUUCAAAGUAUUAUUUGGCUUAGUUCAAAAACACAAAUCAAACUCAGCACCUAACAAUCAUAGUUAGACUGCUGGAUUAAAUUCCAGUCAGAACCUUGAAAACUGCAUAAGAGAAAGAAAAAUUAGCAGGCAGACACAGACAUUGAGGUGGAUGUGAAAGCAAACAAAAAGACAUUGUGGUCAAGCUAAUAAGGGCUAAUGGUGGAUACCUAGGCACCACAGAGGA